This 3604-nucleotide long non-coding RNA is filed under the name Sarcophilus harrisii (Tasmanian devil). RNAcentral describes it as "lncRNA (ENSSHAG00000022524.1)". The record is from RNAcentral. Lineage: Eukaryota; Metazoa; Chordata; Mammalia; Dasyuromorphia; Dasyuridae.
AAAAGAGCUCCAGUUUAUUAUGCUGUACAGCCUUGUUGAUAUACAUUUUUUCAAGCAUGAUCAAUGCGUGAACAGUAGAUAAUCCCCAAUCACCAUUUAGAGAAGCAGCUUAUGGGCUUUGUGUAUGCAUGGUAUCUGCCAAUGGGAGGAGAGUCAAUCCAGGAAUUCAGCAGCUUGCACUUAGGCAAGAGGCCCUGUUUAGGCAUCUCUGUUCAUGUAGCCACUGGCUGUGACCCUCAGCUUACACCCUUUCCCAUGAUCACAAAUCAAUGCUCCUUGUUCAGCAAGGGCGUUUUUGCAACGUCGCAGAAAAUUUAUUGUGCAUCAAGGGUUGAGGUGGCCUCAGUACUCCCUCUCAGCAGAAUCCUAUAUUCUUGCAGAAAACUUUUACCCUAAAAAUGAAAUCCAUGAAAACUGGAAUAGACAUCAUCUAUAUUAGAAAUCAACAACUCCAUGAGGCAGUAAGACAUACUGAGUAAAAUUUAAAAAGUGAAAAAAUAGAAGAAAAUAUAAUUUAUUUGAUAUUCAAAACAAUUGACUUGGAAAACAAGUAAAGAAGAGAGAAUUUAAUAAUAUUAGAAUACCCAAAAAUCCUGAUUAAACAAUAAAAGCAUGAUGUAUUAAUUUUAAAUUAUAAAUAAAAAUUGCCAUCUAUUAAAAUUGAAGGUCAAAGUAAAAACAGAAAGAAGGAACCCAAUUAUCUCCUGAAAGGAACUCAAAAAAGAAAAUCCCCAGGAAUAUUACAAUCAAAAGCCAAAGCUCCCAUAUCAAAAAAAAAAAAAAAAAAUACUGUAAGCAUCCAGAAAUAAGCAAUUUGAAAAUCAAGGAACUAAAAUCUAUUACACAAGACCAGGAAACUCCUAUUAUAAAUAAGAGGAAAUUCUAAAAUACAGUAUUUGUUAUUGUUCAGUCAUUUCAGUCAUCUUCAACUCUUCAUGACCCCAUUGAAGGUUUUCUGGCAAAGAUACAGGAAUGGUUUGCUACCAUUUCUUUCUCUAGCUCAUUUUACAGAUGAGGAAACUGAGGCAAACAAGGCUAAGUGAUCUUGCCCCGGUUCAAACAAUUACUAGGUAUCUGAGGCUGGAUUUGAACUGAAGAAAAUGAGUCUUUCUCACUCAAGAGAUGGCCACUUGAAAUACAAUAUUAUAAAAUGUAAAAGAGGUGGACUUAUAACCAAGAACAAUUUACCUUGCAAAAGUGAAUAUAAUCCUAUGGGGACAAGAGGCAUGAACCUUUAAUGGAAUAGAAGAUAUAAUCAUUUCUAAUAAAAAGACCAGAGCUGAAUAGAAACUUUGAACUACAAACACAAGUCCAGAACUUUGUAGAAACUUUGAAAUACAAACAUGAGUCCUGAGAAACUUAGAAAGGUAAAUUUAUUUGAUCAGUUUAAAAUGAAUGAUGAUGCAAUACUCCUAUUCUAGUAGGAGAAAAGAAAAAGGUGUCUCUGGAGAGCCUUAAUAUUUUCAAAAGAUAUUGAGGAAGCUAAUUAAGAAAAUCAGAGGUCUUGAAGGGGGACUGGUUUACUUUUAGUGUAUAAAGGAAAGAAAAGAGGAUAAAAGAAGGAAUACACUAGUGUAGAAAGAAAGACAUGAAACUCUUUCUUAUAAUUGGGGUAAGAAAGAAAAAGAAAAUACAAACAUGGAGAAAGGGGUAGAGGAAAUGAGCAUCAAAAGAAUUUCUUUCUUACCUAAAAAUGAUGAAGGAGAAUUGAACAUGCCUGCAGAAAGUUUGGUGGAGAAAUUCAUCAUACUCAACAGGGAAACAAGCAGGAUUGGUAUGGGAUGCAGUUAUAAGAGAGAAAUUGAUACUGGGGGAGAGGAUCAAUCCAAACAAACUUCCUAUUCCUGAAAAGGAAAUUUGUUCUUUCAGUUUUAAUGGGGGAGAAGAGGUUGAGCAAUAGUAAUGCUAAAUAAAGAGGGCAAUUAUAACACUUUUCAGAAGGAAGCACUAACAAAAAUGACAAUUUUAAAAGUUUUAUAUAUAUAAUAAUGCAUAUAUAAUAUAAUUAUAUAUAUAAUAUAAUAAAAAAUCAGGAAGCAUGAAAUAGAGAUUCAUAGCUUCAUAUCCUCAUAAAGAAGGGGUUUUUUUGGUAUUUCACUGUGUGUACAAAAAUCCCCCCUCUCUCUUUCCCUUUUUCUUUCUCUGUCUCUAUUUAUGUCUGUCUGUCUGUCUGUCUGUCUGUCUCUCUCUCUCUCUCUCUCUCAUGUUUGCAUGUGUUUCUGUGUAACUUCAGAAUUUUAAAUAACAAUGCAUCUGAAAGCUUCCUACAUAGGAGAUCUAUCUAUCCUUGCCACCCCAACAUCACUGCUGCUUCUACCACCCAUAGUCUUCCCAAAAUAUUAAUAAUUUCCUCCCUUCUCCCUGUAGUUUUUUUGGGAGUUGACCAAGUAGUAUAGUCCAGUAUAGGUGUAAUGCUGGGUCUGAAAUCAAGAAGACCUGAAUUCAAAUUUGACCUCAGACAAAAUUAUGAGCUCUGUGUCCUCAUCUAUUAAAAUAAUAAUCAUAGUACUUUAUUCCAGUAUUGUUGGGAAGAUCAAAGGAGAUAAUAUAUGUAUGUAAAAUAAAUAUAUAUAUAUUUAAAAGAAUCUAAAACUUUAUGCAAACUUUAAAGUACUGUAUAUUAGCCAUUAUUAUUAUUUUUUUAAAAAAUAAUGUCAAUUCCCAGAGAGAUACUCUUAUACUGUAUACACAGCCCCCUGGUGUUAUUCAGGACCCUCACAUAAGGAGAGCAAUUUCUAUGCUCAAAACCUUGUAAAAGAUAUGCCUCUUCCCCUCCCCUCCAAAAAUAAGGAUGCCAUACCUCUCAUGACAAGGAUCACUUACAUAAAGGCUAAAGAUAACUUACAUAAAAGGCUAAAAGAAAACAACGAUUUUUAAGUUCUUUACAAUUUCUCUAUAACCUACCUUUCCAAACUUAUUUCACAUUAAUUCCUUUCAUGCACUUUUCUUGCUGUUUCCCACCAACAGUUUCUCCCCCAGCUUUGACUUUGCCCCAAUGCCCAUCAAGUUUGGAAUGCACUAUAUCCUCACCUCUGCCUUAAAAUCUGUAGCUUUUGUCAACAUCCCAUGCAAAAGCCACCUCCUGAACUCUUCCAUGAUUUCCAUAGAUUCCAAUACUUGCUUCCUCCCUCAAAAGAAAAAAAAAUUGCUUAGAUUUUAUACAUAAUCCUCUGUAUCCAUGAUGUCUCUCUCAAUAGAAUGUAAAUUCCAUGUGGGCAGGAAUAAUUGCAUUUUUUUUUCUUUGUCAUCUCAGUAACUAGUAUAAUGUCUGGCUGGUGCUUGUAAAAUCAUUGAUACAAUACAAUGGAAUUUGAUAGAAUACAAUAUAAGACCACCCAACAAAAUACAAUACAAUACAAAGCCACAUUUAUUAAAUACCUACUUUGUGAAAAACCCUAUUUAGACUCUAAGAGACAUCCAAAAUUUAGACUAUCACUCUAGAAUCUGGUUUCUGAACAAGAAAGGAAAAGUCAGUAAUGAAACCAGAAGGCUGGCAUUGUGUAGCAACAACUCAGAUCAUCACUGGAGGAAAGAACUUGAAGUGUUUACAUACCAUCAGCAAUUAAAAUCCUUCCCUCUCCUCAAUGUUACAACUACAAUAACA